RNAcentral lists this transfer RNA (72 nucleotides) under Camelus bactrianus (Bactrian camel). It matches the Rfam family "tRNA". Rfam says of the family: Transfer RNA (tRNA) molecules are approximately 80 nucleotides in length. Their secondary structure includes four short double-helical elements and three loops (D, anti-codon, and T loops). RNAcentral also lists the same sequence under 3 other names. Lineage: Eukaryota; Metazoa; Chordata; Mammalia; Artiodactyla; Camelidae. The record is from Rfam by way of RNAcentral.
GGGGGUACAGCUUAGUGGUAGAGUGUGUGCUCAGCAUGCACAAGGUCCUGGGUUUAAUUCCCAGCACCUCCA